This 494-nucleotide ribosomal RNA is filed under the name uncultured bacterium. RNAcentral's name for it is "partial 16S ribosomal RNA". It matches the Rfam family "Bacterial small subunit ribosomal RNA", at positions 28 to 507 of the family's 1533-position model. The record is from RNAcentral.
GACGAACGCUGGCGGCGCGCUUAACACAUGCAAGUCGAACGGAAAGGCCUGCUUUCCCUUGUGGAUUGCGGGUACUCGAGUGGCGAACGGGUGAGUAACACGUGAGUGAUCUGCCCCCAACUUGGGUAUAAGCCCGGGAAACUGGGUCUAAUUCCCGAUAGGACUGCAGGGUGGUGCCUGUGGUGGAAAACGAUUUUCUAGUGGUUGGGGAUGAGCUCGCGGCCUAUCAGCUUGUUGGUGGGGUAAUGGCCUACCAAGGCGGCGACGGGUAGCCGGCCUGAGAGGGUGGACGGCCACAUUGGGACUGGGAUACGGCCCAGACUCCUACGGGAGGCAGCAGUGGGGAAUAGUGCACAAUGGGCGGAAGCCUGAUGCAGCGACGCCGCGUGGGGGAUGACGGCCUUCGGGUUGUAAACUCCUUUCGACCGCGAGGAAGCCACCUGGUUGGAAGGGUGGUGACGGUAGUGGUAGAAGAAGCACCGGCUAACUACGUG